RNAcentral lists this ribosomal RNA (465 nucleotides) under Vreelandella stevensii. RNAcentral describes it as "partial 16S ribosomal RNA". It matches the Rfam family "Bacterial small subunit ribosomal RNA", at positions 338 to 795 of the family's 1533-position model. The record is from RNAcentral. Lineage: Bacteria; Pseudomonadati; Pseudomonadota; Gammaproteobacteria; Oceanospirillales; Halomonadaceae.
CCUACGGGGGGCUGCAGUGGGGAAUAUUGGACAAUGGGGGCAACCCUGAUCCAGCCAUGCCGCGUGUGGGAAGAAGGCCCUCGGGUUGUAAAGCACUUUCAGUGAGGAAGAACGCCUGGUGGUGAAUACCCAUCAGGAAAGACAUCACUCACAGAAGAAGCACCGGCUAACUCCGUGCCAGCAGCCGCUGUAAUACGGAGGGUGCGAGCGUUAAUCGUAAUUACUGGGCGUAAAGCGCGCGUAGGUGGCUUGAUAAGCCGGUUGUGAAAGCCCCGGGCUCAACCUGGGAACGGCAUCCGGAACUGUCAAGCUAGAGUGCAGGAGAGGAAGGUAGAAUCCCCGGUGUAGCGGUGAAAUGCGUAGAGAUCGGGAGGAAUACCAGUGGCGAAGGCGGCCUUCUGGACUGACACUGACACUGAGGUGCGAAAGCGUGGGUAGCAAACAGGAUUAGAUACCCUAGUAGUC